This 226-nucleotide ribosomal RNA is filed under the name uncultured Asaia sp. RNAcentral's name for it is "partial 16S ribosomal RNA". It matches the Rfam family "Bacterial small subunit ribosomal RNA", at positions 568 to 792 of the family's 1533-position model. The record is from RNAcentral. Lineage: Bacteria; Pseudomonadati; Pseudomonadota; Alphaproteobacteria; Acetobacterales; Acetobacteraceae.
UGCGUAGGUGGUUUCUUAAGUCAGAGGUGAAAUUCCAGGGCUUAACCUUGGGGCUGCAUUUGAUACGUGUAGACUAGAGUGUGAGAGAGGGUUGUGGAAUUCCCAGUGUAGAGGUGAAAUUCGUAGAUAUUGGGAAGAACACCGGUGGCGAAGGCGGCAACCUGGCUCAUUACUGACGCUGAGGCGCGAAAGCGUGGGGAGCAAACAGGAUUAGAUUACCCUCGUA